This 1079-nucleotide long non-coding RNA is filed under the name Calidris pugnax (ruff). RNAcentral's name for it is "lncRNA (ENSCPUG00000017225.1)". The record is from RNAcentral. Lineage: Eukaryota; Metazoa; Chordata; Aves; Charadriiformes; Scolopacidae.
GGAAGUUAUUUAGGAAGCUGCAAGACUCUUCUUACCCCCCUGGGAUGGUUUGGCUUCAAACUGUGCCUUCCAAAGAGCAACUUGCAACUGGCGCGGCCUACUGCUUGUAUUGUAAUUUAUGAACCCAGUGGCUUGAAAGGUUCCUCCUGCUGCAAGGAUCAUGGUCAAAUAUCACCUGGCCCCAAACCUGAGUUUACCUGGGGAUCUACUCCAUGGAUUUGUUGAGAAGCUAAAAUCGUGAUGAUGGUACACAGUUAUCAUCCUGCCCCAUGUUCCUGCAAGUCCUCACAGAAGCAGUGUGGAUCCGAUGUUCCUGGUCCCUCGAUGAAGCAAUUCAGCUCUUCAUGCAACGCCCAGGACGUGUUAUGCUCCAUCUCAGCAAGAACGUAGAGCCAGAAUUCACUAUCAACUUGAAACACAGAAGAGCAUCCAAGGUCCUGAUCCAAGGUCGUUUCUGUUCUGCUCAACACUUUCACGUGGAGGCACCUGCUUGCUUCCUUGUCUGUAAUGAAAUCUGAACACAGGCUUAAAGAUCCGAAAGUCCAAGUGUUGCGACGAACGGAGAUGAACUGGUGGUUUGCCAUCCUGGGCUCAGCCGCUCAUCUCUCCUCAUCCUCUUCAGCAAAAAACGUGAGUAGCUGCAUUCAAAGCAGUACAUAGCAAUCAUCCAUCUCACCUUUGAAGCCUGAGUUUGUUGGCUUUUGGGCUUAAUCAUAACCAUUAGCUUCCAUUUAAUCUCUGAACCCAGUCACCCCGGCUCUCACAAACGUGCCAGCCGCCCUGUCUGCUGAGUCUGUAUAGCCACUGAGCCCUUGUUACCACUCAUUUGAUUUCUCCAUCACCUUUGUUGCCUUGCCUUGAUCCUCACCAUAACAUGGCUGGUUUAUGGUACCUUGCAGAGAAAUUUGGGGGUUCAUUUUCUAAUGCAAUGAGUUAUUUAUUUCUGACAUCCUAAUCUUCUUUUAAGAUCUUUUUUUCUUUUUUUCCUUUUUUUACUGAGCCUUUAGAACAGCAUAUUUCACUGUGUUUAUGUGGUAGAAGCACAUAAUAAAACUAUAACAACUAUUCUAGAAAUUUCA